UCUCUCUCAAAAUUUCCCCUUUCUCCCCGAAACCCUAGAACGGGCGGCGAUUCCGGCGACUCCGGCGAGGCUGGGUGCAGCGGGGCUGGGCGGCACUCUAGGCAGGCGGGGGCGGCGCACUCCAAGGCAGCCAUGGCGUCCAGGCCGGCAAGCUCCACUGCGACCACGGCAUGCCGAGCUCAGAUUUGUUUUCAAGGGAUUGACUCUUUCACUUCCCCUUUUUUUGUGAAGUCUGGGGACUGCGGAUUUUGGGAGUGGUGUGAUGAUGAGGCAGAACCAUAUAUGAAGCAACAGCUGUUGCUUGAUUUGAGGAAUGCAAUGUGGUCUGCACGUGAGCAAGUGAAUGGCCUGGAGGCUGCACUUCGGGACAGGACAGUAGCCCAGCACAACUUGCAGUCUACCCCCAAGAAAGAAAGCAAUGAGGUUCAGGGUCUGAGAGCUGCUGUAGAGAAGAUGGAAGCUGCAAAUUGUGUUUUAGUUGAUAGGAUUAACAAACAACAGACAUCUGUUCUACUAGAAUUUGUAAUUGCAAAUUGGAAUGAAUGCAAAAUUGUGGUUUUGUUUGAGAUGACAGUUAAAAAUCAGUUGGAGAUAAUGGAAACAGCAAAAGUGAUGAUAAAUAAUGACAUAUAUUGCCACAUCUGGAACCCAUUGUAUCUGAUUACAUCAGCAAGUAAACAAGAGUGGUGGCAGUAA
This 696-nucleotide long non-coding RNA is filed under the name Oryza sativa Indica Group (long-grained rice). RNAcentral's name for it is "lncRNA OsMH63_05G011440". Lineage: Eukaryota; Viridiplantae; Streptophyta; Magnoliopsida; Poales; Poaceae. The record is from RNAcentral.